RNAcentral lists this ribosomal RNA (253 nucleotides) under uncultured bacterium. RNAcentral describes it as "partial 16S ribosomal RNA". It matches the Rfam family "Bacterial small subunit ribosomal RNA", at positions 524 to 776 of the family's 1533-position model. The record is from RNAcentral.
UACGUAGGGUGCAAGCGUUAAUCGGAAUUACUGGGCGUAAAGCGUGCGCAGGCGGUUUUGUAAGACUGUCGUGAAAUCCCCGGGCUUAACCUGGGAAUGGCGAUGGUGACUGCAAGGCUAGAGUUUGGCAGAGGGGGGUAGAAUUCCACGUGUAGCAGUGAAAUGCGUAGAGAUGUGGAGGAACACCGAUGGCGAAGGCAGCCCCCUGAGUCAAAACUGACGCUCAUGCACGAAAGCGUGGGGAGCAAACAGG